AAACCCGGAGGGCCGAAGCAACUUCAGCAACAUCACUAGUGAGAACUCCAAGGAGGCUUAUAUGGACCUUAUUGCAUUUGAGAAAAUCAAUAACGGAGCUCCAGUUGGAGGGUUUUUGACGGCACAUCUUUCUAGGGCAGUUCAACCAGAGCACCUGGAGUGGAUACAAGUGGCAGUUUUUGUUUCUUAUGAAAUUGUUUCUGGAAUGAAAACCAUGGAAUUAGAGUAGAACAUUUCUCACGACCUGCAAUGGCUUUGGGCAGCACCAGGAGCUCCUGAAAGGAUUAUCUGAGAGUAUAGAAAAGUUUGGCAACAGAAGGAACUAUGAGAAGCAACUGAUCAGAAAUACCACUAGAGAAAUCUUUUGAAUUCUUCAGACAAUUGAUUCUUGGUGCAAAUUAAGUAAAAUCUAUACUGAAGAGAAAUAUGAAAAGUAUGUUGACAUCCUAAUGUAAACAGGAAAAAAAGUGAAAUGGU
Molecule: long non-coding RNA, 477 nt
Filed under: Marmota marmota marmota (Alpine marmot)
Lineage: Eukaryota; Metazoa; Chordata; Mammalia; Rodentia; Sciuridae
Description: lncRNA (ENSMMMG00000007486.1)
Source: RNAcentral